RNAcentral lists this unclassified non-coding RNA (380 nucleotides) under uncultured Gammaproteobacteria bacterium. Its description in RNAcentral is "contains 16S-23S intergenic spacer region". The record is from RNAcentral. Lineage: Bacteria; Pseudomonadati; Pseudomonadota; Gammaproteobacteria.
UCCGGUUUGACACCGGCAGUCUCCCUAGAGUUCCCGGCAUGACCCGCUGGUAACUGGGGACAAGGGUUGCGCUCGUUGCGGGACUUAACCCAACAUCUCACGGCACGAGCUGACGACAGCCAUGCAGCACCUGUGUUGCGGUUCCCUUUCGGGCACCAAGACAUCUCUGUCCCGUUCCGCACAUGUCAAGGGUAGGUAAGGUUUUUCGCGUUGCAUCGAAUUAAUCCACAUAAUCCACCGCUUGUGCGGGUCCCCGUCAAUUCCUUUGAGUUUAAGCCUUGCGGCCGUACUCCCCAGGCGGUCAACUUCACGCGUUAGCUUCGACACUGGGAGGCUUACCCUCUCAACGUCUAGUUCUCAUCGUUUAUGGCGUGGACUAC